Nicotiana attenuata is the source of this 2691-nucleotide RNA transcript. It is a transcript of the gene named histone-lysine N-methyltransferase 2C, with no coding region annotated. The record is from RefSeq and is a predicted model, not a curated record. The transcript is spliced from 8 exons. NCBI's taxonomy places the organism in Eukaryota, Viridiplantae, Streptophyta, Magnoliopsida, Solanales, Solanaceae.
GAUGGUAGUAUCAGUUAUUCUAACAGUUCCUUUGGUCGAAGCCUUGUGUGCCACUUCCUGCAUCUCCGCCAGUGCCGCCCUGGGUUAUCCCGGCGUUCAACCAAAGGGAGUACAGCUGUGAUAAAAAAAACCUGAUACUAAAUUGGAUUGGAUGUAUAGGAGCACAUCAUUUUGGUAGAUGUACUCAUAAACAAGAGAAAGAUUACUUCCUUCAUAUUUGUGCGUGGCUCAAUUGCUAUGCUGAUACAAAAUUAUCUUCCUAGUUGCAUAGAAGCUUCUUGUGCGACCUCUUUCUCAUCUGAGAUCACAAAGCAAGACUCAUGUAACUGGGUAUCUGGCGCCGAAUCGUUGAAAAUGAGUCCUGAAAUUGAUGAACGCCCUCUUGAUGGCUGUAGAAAAAUUAAUUCAAAGGAUGGUGAUCCUUGUUCCUUAAACAGUGUAGAUGGUUUACGACCUUCAACUUUCAGUGCAAUGUCUGGAAGUUCUAAGCCCAUUGUAUAUCGUAGGAAAAAGUUCCGAAGAAACCCUCUCACUACUUUCUCCAUUGAAACAUCAGCUGAAGUUAGGCCUAGCAAUGGAUGUCCUUCUGAGCUUUGUUCUGAGGUCCAUCUAGGAACUUUUAAGGAAGACUUAGUUGCUGGAGUUGCAGUUGAAAAGGUAGCUACUGCAGCUCCUUUUCUGAUUCCUGCUGAGUGUAAUAGAGGGAACCUUCUUUCUAAAUCAAAUUCUUGUGAUGGUAGACCUGAAGUAGAAGAGCAGUGCUCUGAAGCAGCGUCAAGAAGUGACAUACAAAGGACUUCAGAUUUUUGCGUAAAUGAUAGCCAUUCGUCGUUGGACUUUGAUUCUUCUUCAUUGAAGACUGAUGUGGGUGAUGCCAGUGAAUGCUCCUCAUCUGGUGCUUUAGUUCCUGAAGGAUUGGAUGAUAAUAUGCCAGAAAAGGAUAUAUGCAUAACAAUUCUUAGAGGUUAUGGGUUGCUUGAGAAAGUUCCGUUUACUGAGCUCCGCAUGUCCGCUAAAGCCUCUGGUACCAGUACUAACAACUGCUCUUUAAUCUCAUGCAAAGCCUGUGAUUGUUCAGAUACUACAUUGAAGAUGCUAAUCUGUGAUAAUUGUGCUGAUGCAUAUCAUUUAUCUUGCUGCAAUCCCCGUAUACGGAAAAUACCUCGGGAUGAGUGGUUUUGCAAAUAUUGUUUGAUUAAGAAGCGAAAAUUACUGGAGAAAUCAACUUGUAAAUCCCUAAGUGGGCCCGUCGAAACUGAAAGUUCUAGCAACUUAUUGUCUGAAGGUGAAUCAGGACCUAUAUCUCUCAUGUUGAAGGACACCAGCAUAUAUAGAACCUGCGUCCGUAUUGGCAAUAAUUUUCAAGCUGAGGUUCCUGACUGGACAGGCCCAGUGAUAGAUGAGGUUGAUCGGUUUGAACCAUUAGAAAUCAGGCCUUCCAAGUAUCUCAGCUUCGAUGAAUACUCUUCUAACAAGCCGUCGAGGUUUAGUUCUAUUGGCAAUUGGCUUCAGUGCCGGCAGGUCAUUGAAGGUAUUGGUGAAUAUGCGGAUGGAAGUAUCUGUGGGAAGUGGCGUAGGGCCCCACUAUUUGAAGUUCAAACAGAUGACUGGGAGUGCUUCCGUACUGUCCUUUGGGAUCCACCUCAUGCAGAUUGUGCUGUACCUCAAGAACUCGAAACGGAGGAAGUUCUAAAGCAAUUGAAGUAUAUAGAGACGUUGAAACCCCGGCUGGCGAUUAAGAGGCGCAAAUUGGUUCAAACCUCGGGUGCUAGCUCACGGUGCUUCACAGAGAAUUGAGAAGAGAUAGGCUUCAUGUACGGAAAUGUUCAUCUUGUACAUUUAAGUAUACAAAUUUGGGACAUUUGAAUUUGUACUACAUGAGAUUCUCAUCACAGCACACUGAUGUAAUUGCUUCAGAAACAUUUGUGCAAUUUAGAAGGUGCAUUGAAUCAAUCAGCUGCAACUCUAUUUGAGUUUUCCUGGCCACACUUCGUCUCUUAGUACAUUUAUAUGUUGUCUUUAUGGGGCAUUUACUUUUUGCAUUGUGAGGGCUGACAUAUUAACAUUUCAGGGUAGAGAGCAGGUGCGGGGAAGGCAAAGUGAGAGCAAGAUAAAGGGGAAGGGGAAUUUUUACUUGUGAUGACUCUGUGUUGGUGCUAUUUAGUUUCUAUUUUUUCGUCUGGUAUAGGCAGUUUUAUGAACAGGAACCUACUCUAGGUUUUUUUGUUGAAUAGCAGAAUUUAUUUGCAGCUUCCAGCGGAGCAACCUUCUUCUCUCUCGAGUUUGUGGCAGCUAUCCCCUGAACAUUGGUAUCUUGAGUCACUCUUCCAGGUUAGGAACUUAUGGUUGUGCACUGCAGUGCGGAAAAAACAUCGAGGGGCUUCUUUCAGAAUUCAUGAAUCUGUCUUGUGGUUCAUUACUAUUUGGUACAGUAUAAUUUGAAGGCCAAUUAUAACCCGCGGAACAAAUUAUUUGUGUAUCAUUAGAGCCAGCAAAACACAAAGGCAAGAAAGAGGGAUGAAUAUAGAUGCAUUCACAUCCGGUAUUUCAUUUGUAAUUUGUAAUGAUUAGUAGUAAAUAUAUACAAAGGUCAGCACCUGUAUCAUCGUUACUCGUUAGUGAGUAGCUGUGUUGUUUCCCUUCAUAUGAAAUAUUUGAUUUGAGAUUUGAUUAAGCUAGCGUUUGGCCAUA